This 462-nucleotide ribosomal RNA is filed under the name uncultured bacterium. RNAcentral's name for it is "SSU rRNA". It matches the Rfam family "Bacterial small subunit ribosomal RNA", at positions 26 to 518 of the family's 1533-position model. The record is from RNAcentral.
AGAAUCAACGCUGGCGGCGUGCCUAACACAUGCAAGUCGAACGAGAAAGUGGAGCAAUCCAUGAGUAAAGUGGCGCACGGGUGAGUAACACGUGACUAACCUACCCUUGAGUGGGGGAUAACCUCGGGAAACCGGGCUAAUACCGCAUAACAUCGAGAGAUCAAAGGAGCAAUUCGCUUAAGGAGGGGGUCGCGGCUGAUUAGCUAGUUGGUGAGGUAAUGGCUCACCAAGGCUAUGAUCAGUAUCCGGCCUGAGAGGGCGCGACGGACGACGACUGGAACUGAAACACGGUCCAGACUCCUACGGGAGGCAGCAGUGGGGAAUUUUGCGCAAUGGGGGAAACCCUGACGCAGCAACGCCGCGUGGAGGAUGAAGUCCCUUGGGACGUAAACUCCUUUCGAUCGGGACGAUAAUGACGGUACCGGAAGAAGAAGCCCCGGCUAACUUCGUGCCAGCAGCCGC